GACGAACGCUGGCGGCGUGCUUAACACAUGCAAGUCGAACGGAAAGGCCCUGCUUUUGUGGGGUUCUCGAGUGGCGAACGGGUGAGUAACACGUGAGUAACCUGCUCUUGACUUUGGGAUAACUUCAGGUAACUGGGGCUAAUACCGGAUCGGAGCUCCUCCUGCAUGGAGGGGGUUGGAAAGUUUCGGCGGGUGGGGAUGGACUCGCGGCUUAUCAGCUUGUUGGUGGGGUAGUGGCUUACCAAGGCUUUGCCGGGUAGCCGGCCUGAGAGGGUGACCGGGCACAUUGGGACUGGGGUAGGGGCCAGACUGAUUCGGGAGGCAGGGGUGGAAGUAUUGCACAAUGGGCGGAAGCGUGAUGCAGAGGCGCCGCGUGCGGGAUGACGGCCUUCGGGUUGUAAACCGCUUUCGCCUGAGACGAAGCGUGAGUGACGGUAAUGGGUAAAGAAGCACCGGCUAACUACGUG
Molecule: ribosomal RNA, 467 nt
Filed under: uncultured bacterium
Lineage: Bacteria
Description: partial 16S ribosomal RNA
Rfam family: Bacterial small subunit ribosomal RNA
Source: RNAcentral